RNAcentral lists this long non-coding RNA (1113 nucleotides) under Helianthus annuus (common sunflower). Its description in RNAcentral is "hypothetical non coding rna". The record is from RNAcentral. Lineage: Eukaryota; Viridiplantae; Streptophyta; Magnoliopsida; Asterales; Asteraceae.
AAUGGGUGUUUGUUACCCCAUUUGCGACCCUUUUUCCGCGUAUAAACCAGAAACCUCCCAGGUUUCUAUAGCAGGAGAUAUGAUUUGAUUAGAAAUCUGAUAUAAUUAUUCUCAUUAUAUUUUAAUUAUUUUCUUUUAUGAUCAAAUCAUAUCUCCUAGAGGAGGUAAUUAUAAUCAAUCAUAUAGUAAACUAUAAAAAUCAUCCUUUAUAUAUGUAUUUUAUUAUAAAGUGUGUCAUUUGUCUUUAAUAAUGCAGAAAACAAACAUAAAGUAUGUUUUCUGUACUUAUUAAAGACAAAGGACACACUUUGCAAUAAGAUACAUAUAUAAAAGACGAUUUUUGAAAUUUACUCUAAAUCAUAACUAAUAUAUUCUAUCCAUACCCUCCGGCCAUUUGCACCGCGUUCUCAACGUCUUCAAGAUGCACAUCGAACAAUAAACCCAUUCGAAGAAAAGGGUUUUUCGGCGGUAACUUAUCAUUUACGAUCAAGCGAUACAAGCAGUCAAGCAAGUGAAACGUGUCACACACGUCAAAACCGCCAUCAGAUUCGGGUUCGGAUGCAGUAAAUUUAAUUGGCGAUCGCGUUUCGCAAAAUUUCACCAACAAACUUGCAAGAUCAAAAUCAUCAACUUCCCCAUCUGAGUGUUGGUGAACUGCAUUUAGCAGUUCAACCAACACCACAAGUGGGAUUUGGUUCUCCACCAUCAUCACAUCUUCCAAAGUCCCCGACGGGACAGCAUCAUCUGUCCCGUCGGACACUUUUAACAAAAUAUCCAACAAAAAGAGUGCAUCCAACACAAACACCCAUGCUAAAGUAUCAUCACUAACGUUAAAGUACAAGUCAUAACAGCAUCUAGCUGCUGGGACAAUGUCAGCUUGAUCGUGUGGCCUUGCCCCCGCCACAUCACUUCCAUAACAUGCUAGCUGCGGGGACGUUAUGGAGGGGCGAUAUCGGUGGCUUCGUUAUCAGUAUAAGGAGCAUCAAAGGAUAAGGUAUGGGGGGCCAUUGAUUCUCACAAAUUAGUAAUAGUUUUUUAAUUUCUUUUUUAUAUAGUUUUAAAAGAGAACUUUAUUUCAUACCGUGUAAGUUAACAAUAAAACCUCGCUUACGU